UGCCAGCAGUCGCGGUUAAACCAAGAAAUUUAGUCAUUCUUCACGGUAAAAAGACAGUUAGGCAGGAGAGUAGAGCCAUCAGACCGCCAGUAGAGGAGUAAAAUCUAGAUACUGGCAGUUAUACCGAAGAUGGUUUGUUUAAGAAGCUGAGGCUGUGAAAUCUUUAAGGGAAACUGGGAUUGGAUACCCCACUAUUUUUAGUUAUAAAUUUACUGUUAAUAUACCAGAGUACUACGAAUAAAAAGUUUAAAACUCAAAGGGCUUGGCGGUGUUUUAGACCUCUCAGGGGAACCUGUCUCAUAAUCGACAAUCCGCGUUAAACCUAACCUUUUAUAGUAGUUCAGCCUGUAUACCGUCGUCGUCAGGUAACUUCUUAAAAUAUAGUAGUUAGCUAGAAAAUUUCAUUAGUUAAAACGUCAGAUCAAGGUGCAGCUUAUGAAAAGGGGAGGAUGGGUUACAAUUAUAAAUUUAUAAUUACGAAAAGAGCUUGAAAUAAAGUGACUUGAAGGAGGACUUGAAAGUAAUUUUAAUUACAUAAAUAAAAUGAAUUUGGCUCUGAAACGUGCACACAUCGCCCGUCACUCU
Molecule: ribosomal RNA, 585 nt
Filed under: Conus pertusus
Lineage: Eukaryota; Metazoa; Mollusca; Gastropoda; Neogastropoda; Conidae
Description: partial 12S ribosomal RNA
Rfam family: Bacterial small subunit ribosomal RNA
Source: RNAcentral